Molecule: ribosomal RNA, 253 nt
Filed under: uncultured bacterium
Lineage: Bacteria
Description: partial 16S ribosomal RNA
Rfam family: Bacterial small subunit ribosomal RNA
Source: RNAcentral
UACGGGGGGGGCAAGCGUUGUUCGGAAUUACUGGGCGUAAAGGGCGCGUAGGCGGCCUGCUAAGUCGGAUGUGAAAUCCCUCGGCUCAACCGAGGAACUGCAUCCGAUACUGGCGGGCUUGAAUCCGGGAGAGGGAUGUGGAAUUCCAGGUGUAGCGGUGAAAUGCGUAGAUAUCUGGAGGAACACCGGUGGCGAAGGCGGCUCACUGGCUCGUAUCUGACGCUCAGGCGCGACAGCGUGGGGAUCAAACAGG